Molecule: ribosomal RNA, 2156 nt
Filed under: Shigella flexneri
Lineage: Bacteria; Pseudomonadati; Pseudomonadota; Gammaproteobacteria; Enterobacterales; Enterobacteriaceae
Description: partial 23S ribosomal RNA
Rfam family: Bacterial large subunit ribosomal RNA
Source: RNAcentral
CCGACUAAUGUUGAAAAAUUAGCGGAUGACUUGUGGCUGGGGGUGAAAGGCCAAUCAAACCGGGAGAUAGCUGGUUCUCCCCGAAAGCUAUUUAGGUAGCGCCUCGUGAAUUCAUCUCCGGGGGUAGAGCACUGUUUCGGCAAGGGGGUCAUCCCGACUUACCAACCCGAUGCAAACUGCGAAUACCGGAGAAUGUUAUCACGGGAGACACACGGCGGGUGCUAACGUCCGUCGUGAAGAGGGAAACAACCCAGACCGCCAGCUAAGGUCCCAAAGUCAUGGUUAAGUGGGAAACGAUGUGGGAAGGCCCAGACAGCCAGGAUGUUGGCUUAGAAGCAGCCAUCAUUUAAAGAAAGCGUAAUAGCUCACUGGUCGAGUCGGCCUGCGCGGAAGAUGUAACGGGGCUAAACCAUGCACCGAAGCUGCGGCAGCGACGCUUAUGCGUUGUUGGGUAGGGGAGCGUUCUGUAAGCCUGUGAAGGUGUGCUGUGAGGUAUGCUGGAGGUAUCAGAAGUGCGAAUGCUGACAUAAGUAACGAUAAAGCGGGUGAAAAGCCCGCUCGCCGGAAGACCAAGGGUUCCUGUCCAACGUUAAUCGGGGCAGGGUGAGUCGACCCCUAAGGCGAGGCCGAAAGGCGUAGUCGAUGGGAAACAGGUUAAUAUUCCUGUACUUGGUGUUACUGCGAAGGGGGGACGGAGAAGGCUAUGUUGGCCGGGCGACGGUUGUCCCGGUUUAAGCGUGUAGGCUGGUUUUCCAGGCAAAUCCGGAAAAUCAAGGCCGAGGCGUGAUGACGAGGCACUACGGUGCUGAAGCAACAAAUGCCCUGCUUCCAGGAAAAGCCUCUAAGCAUCAGGUAACAUCAAAUCGUACCCCAAACCGACACAGGUGGUCAGGUAGAGAAUACCAAGGCGCUUGAGAGAACUCGGGUGAAGGAACUAGGCAAAAUGGUGCCGUAACUUCGGGAGAAGGCACGCUGAUACGUAGGUGAAGCGACUUGCUCGUGGAGCUGAAAUCAGUCGAAGAUACCAGCUGGCUGCAACUGUUUAUUAAAAACACAGCACUGUGCAAACACGAAAGUGGACGUAUACGGUGUGACGCCUGCCCGGUGCCGGAAGGUUAAUUGAUGGGGUUAGCGCAAGCGAAGCUCUUGAUCGAAGCCCCGGUAAACGGCGGCCGUAACUAUAACGGUCCUAAGGUAGCGAAAUUCCUUGUCGGGUAAGUUCCGACCUGCACGAAUGGCGUAAUGAUGGCCAGGCUGUCUCCACCCGAGACUCAGUGAAAUUGAACUCGCUGUGAAGAUGCAGUGUACCCGCGGCAAGACGGAAAGACCCCGUGAACCUUUACUAUAGCUUGACACUGAACAUUGAGCCUUGAUGUGUAGGAUAGGUGGGAGGCUUUGAAGUGUGGACGCCAGUCUGCAUGGAGCCGACCUUGAAAUACCACCCUUUAAUGUUUGAUGUUCUAACGUGGACCCGUGAUCCGGGUUGCGGACAGUGUCUGGUGGGUAGUUUGACUGGGGCGGUCUCCUCCUAAAGAGUAACGGAGGAGCACGAAGGUUGGCUAAUCCUGGUCGGACAUCAGGAGGUUAGUGCAAUGGCAUAAGCCAGCUUGACUGCGAGCGUGACGGCGCGAGCAGGUGCGAAAGCAGGUCAUAGUGAUCCGGUGGUUCUGAAUGGAAGGGCCAUCGCUCAACGGAUAAAAGGUACUCCGGGGAUAACAGGCUGAUACCGCCCAAGAGUUCAUAUCGACGGCGGUGUUUGGCACCUCGAUGUCGGCUCAUCACAUCCUGGGGCUGAAGUAGGUCCCAAGGGUAUGGCUGUUCGCCAUUUAAAGUGGUACGCGAGCUGGGUUUAGAACGUCGUGAGACAGUUCGGUCCCUAUCUGCCGUGGGCGCUGGAGAACUGAGGGGGGCUGCUCCUAGUACGAGAGGACCGGAGUGGACGCAUCACUGGUGUUCGGGUUGUCAUGCCAAUGGCACUGCCCGGUAGCUAAAUGCGGAAGAGAUAAGUGCUGAAAGCAUCUAAGCACGAAACUUGCCCCGAGAUGAGUUCUCCCUGACCCUUUAAGGGUCCUGAAGGAACGUUGAAGACGACGACGUUGAUAGGCCGGGUGUGUAAGCGCAGCGAUGCGUUGAGCUAACCGGUACUAAUGAACCGU